UCCAAUGUGGUGUAGUGGUUAACAUUGCUGUCUUUCAUGGUCCACACAGCAGCCCGGGGUUCGAUUCCCCGCAUUGGAA
Non-coding RNA from Lentinula boryana, 79 nucleotides. The record is from the annotation of a GenBank genome assembly. Lineage: Eukaryota; Fungi; Basidiomycota; Agaricomycetes; Agaricales; Omphalotaceae.